This 1149-nucleotide long non-coding RNA is filed under the name Nicotiana benthamiana. RNAcentral describes it as "long non-coding RNA (NBEN_LNC020503)". Lineage: Eukaryota; Viridiplantae; Streptophyta; Magnoliopsida; Solanales; Solanaceae. The record is from RNAcentral.
ACUAGCUAACUUUGGCAUUGAAAGUUCGCUAGGCCGGACAGAUCGUCGUGUUUGAGUUACGGGCUCGUCACACAAGUAUAUCAAAAAGUAGAGAACAUACACCAAAAUAUGUUUUCUAUACAUGAAACUCGAUCUUCUAUAUAAACAAGACUGCACAGGUGCAAGAAAAAAAUAAGAACAUUAAGCUAUUCCUCAAAGUACACAGUUGUUAUUUAUCCCUUUAAAGACUCCUGUUUCUCUCCUUUUGCGUGACCCGUAUUAUGGCUAAGCGGCAACAUUCAUGCCUGACGUUUCCUCUUCUUCUAAAGGCUUCUGCAUCCUUUAUUAAUCCUGGUAACAUCCUUGCACCCUAAAGCAGUUAAAUACUACACAACACACUCAAGCCAACUUGACAACUAGAUGUUCCACGCCUUCACUGAACAUUUACGCAUAAAACAACUAAGUGUGUGAUCCUCUCCUUCAUUUUCAAGUUCUCAAUUGUCAAAAUCGCAUCUCUUUGCUGCAAACCAAGCAGAGAAGCGUACUUUUCUGGGUGUUCUAGGAAUUCAAACUGAUACAUGGGAAAACUCUGUUCCCCUCACCAGUAGCUUGUGUUAGUAUCACUUUAUUGAGAAAACUCCAUCUCUCGUGUCCUACCUCCAUGAGCCCCUAUUAUCAAGCAUUCUGUUGUUUUUUAGUUUCAACCAAUCCUUGAAAUUUAUCUAUUUCUCAAUCUUAUUAAUUCCCUGUAAAGAUCCAAGUGAACUCCUCCCUCUUGUAUCCUCCGGAUGUGUCGCACCUAGUUAUGGAGCUAAGGGUAAUUAAGGGGGUUUAAUUGAACCCUCAUUGUCAGAGAAUUACUUUGCAAGCAGGAUAAAAGUAAACUUUUUUCUGUAUACAUAUACUUUGUUGAAUCCUCUUAACAUAAGGGAUUCUUCUGUUGUAGCAACCUUGGGGUUUCAACAAUUGCUGUGGAAAGAAUAAAAUUCUUGAAUAAUUUCAUUCAUAUUUUUCAAUAUCAUGUACAUGGCUUUAUAUAGAGAGGAGGUUGACCAGCAGAAUCACCUAAGUCCCAUAAAAUUUGGGAUUGUACAGAAUCUAAUAAAAUACAAACAACAACUACCCAGUAUAUUCCCACAAAGUGGGGUCUGGGGAGGGUAAUAUAUAGAC